Long non-coding RNA from Ailuropoda melanoleuca (giant panda), 762 nucleotides. RefSeq lists it as uncharacterized. The transcript has 4 exons. The record is from RefSeq and is a predicted model, not a curated record. NCBI's taxonomy places the organism in Eukaryota, Metazoa, Chordata, Mammalia, Carnivora, Ursidae.
UCUAUGCCCAACGUGGGGCUGGAACUCACCACGCUGAAAUCAAGAGUCACGUGCUCUACCGAGGGAGCCAGCCAGAGCCCCAGGGUUCCUCUUCCAUGUGGUGGACACAUCCCAGUGGACAGGGCUGGGUGCUUACAGCAGCAGAACCCGGCUGAGCAAACGUGUGGAAGUUUCAGGACCCGUUUAUUGAGUACCCACGUCAGCCGAGCCUGAAAGGGGGAAAACCAAGGGGCGGAGAAGUUAAGUGACUUGCCCAAGGUCUCACCACGGCAAGUGUCAGAGCCACUGUAGCCAGAACUUUGAGCAACUGGAGAAUGGUCUAAGCCAACCCUAUCCUUGAGGAUGAGCCUGCACCUGGUCCUAGAUUCAGAGAGGGGAGGUGAUUCUCUUAACGCCACACAGCAGGAUGGGGCUGAGCGACAAGUCAGAGAUUGUGGACAUGGUGGCUCCUGACGACCAUGGCUUCCGCCUCGCUUCAUCUCGGCUCGCCUGCUCUUGGAGCCGGGCUCAGACACGUCAUGAGGGCACUCAAGCAGCCCAAUGGAGAGGUCCAUGUGGCUCCAGGGGACCGCCAUGAGAACAGCCCAUCACAGGAGUCGUCGGUCCUCCCGCCCCAGCCCAGCCUUCAGCUGAUUGCAGGCCUGACAGCCUGACCUUAACCUCAUGAGAGACGGAGCCAACAUCAGCCAGCGGACUCACUGCCCCAUUCCUGACCCACAGAAACCACAUGACGUAAUAAAUUCAUGUUGUUUUAACCCGCUA